AGAGUUUGAUCAUGGCUCAGAUUGAACGCUGGCGGCAGGCCUAACACAUGCAAGUCGAACGGUAACAGGAAGCAGCUUGCUGCUUUGCUGACGAGUGGCGGACGGGUGAGUAAUGUCUGGGAAACUGCCUGAUGGAGGGGGAUAACUACUGGAAACGGUGGCUAAUACCGCAUAACGUCGCAAGACCAAAGAGGGGGACCUUCGGGCCUCUUGCCAUCAGAUGUGCCCAGAUGGGAUUAGCUUGUUGGUGAGGUAACGGCUCACCAAGGCGACGAUCCCUAGCUGGUCUGAGAGGAUGACCAGCCACACUGGAACUGAGACACGGUCCAGACUCCUACGGGAGGCAGCAGUGGGGAAUAUUGCACAAUGGGCGCAAGCCUGAUGCAGCCAUGCCGCGUGUAUGAAGAAGGCCUUCGGGUUGUAAAGUACUUUCAGCGGGGAGGAAGGUGUUGUGGUUAAUAACCGCAGCAAUUGACGUUACCCGCAGAAGAAGCACCGGCUAACUCCGUGCCAGCAGCCGCGGUAAUACGGAGGGUGCAAGCGUUAAUCGGAAUUACUGGGCGUAAAGCGCACGCAGGCGGUCUGUCAAGUCGGAUGUGAAAUCCCCGGGCUCAACCUGGGAACUGCAUUCGAAACUGGCAGGCUUGAGUCUUGUAGAGGGGGGUAGAAUUCCAGGUGUAGCGGUGAAAUGCGUAGAGAUCUGGAGGAAUACCGGUGGCGAAGGCGGCCCCCUGGACAAAGACUGACGCUCAGGUGCGAAAGCGUGGGGAGCAAACAGGAUUAGAUACCCUGGUAGUCCACGCCGUAAACGAUGUCUACUUGGAGGUUGUGCCCUUGAGGCGUGGCUUCCGGAGCUAACGCGUUAAGUAGACCGCCUGGGGAGUACGGCCGCAAGGUUAAAACUCAAAUGAAUUGACGGGGGCCCGCACAAGCGGUGGAGCAUGUGGUUUAAUUCGAUGCAACGCGAAGAACCUUACCUGGUCUUGACAUCCACGGAAGUUUUCAGAGAUGAGAAUGUGCCUUCGGGAACCGUGAGACAGGUGCUGCAUGGCUGUCGUCAGCUCGUGUUGUGAAAUGUUGGGUUAAGUCCCGCAACGAGCGCAACCCUUAUCCUUUGUUGCCAGCGAUUAGGUCGGGAACUCAAAGGAGACUGCCAGUGAUAAACUGGAGGAAGGUGGGGAUGACGUCAAGUCAUCAUGGCCCUUACGACCAGGGCUACACACGUGCUACAAUGGCGCAUACAAAGAGAAGCGACCUCGCGAGAGCAAGCGGACCUCAUAAAGUGCGUCGUAGUCCGGAUUGGAGUCUGCAACUCGACUCCAUGAAGUCGGAAUCGCUAGUAAUCGUGGAUCAGAAUGCCACGGUGAAUACGUUCCCGGGCCUUGUACACACCGCCCGUCACACCAUGGGAGUGGGUUGCAAAAGAAGUAGGUAGCUUAACCUUCGGGAGGGCGCUUACCACUUUGUGAUUCAUGACUGGGGUGAAGUCGUAACAAGGUAACCGUAGGGGAACCUGCGGUUGGAUCACCU
Molecule: ribosomal RNA, 1530 nt
Filed under: Salmonella enterica
Lineage: Bacteria; Pseudomonadati; Pseudomonadota; Gammaproteobacteria; Enterobacterales; Enterobacteriaceae
Also listed under: 1 other name
Description: bacterial SSU rRNA
Rfam family: Bacterial small subunit ribosomal RNA
Source: RNAcentral